CAAACCCUUUCAUCCUAAAUCUUCUACACACUACCGCCAUGAACCGCCCGCACCUGAGCUCAACCCCUUUGAAGCAUAUUUUAGGGUUUUUUUUUUUUUUUUUUUUUUUGUGAAUUCGGUUGAGGAUGCAUUUGACAAUCAAGUCAAGAAGGUCAAUCGUUAUUCAAAAUAUAAGAAAUGGAGGUUCAAUGCGUUCCCUUGAUUUAAUGGGCGAUAAAAUUGACGACACAGAUUUGUUUCAGGUUUGGGGUGUGGUGAAAAGAAGUCGAACCAUCCUUAUACACAGGCAAUUUCGUUAGAACUAAGCCAGCACGAAGCUGGGAGAUACACAAACAGAGGCAAACAACAAACAAGCAAAAAAAAAAAAGACAUAGGGCAACAUUCUAAGAUUGAUUCGGUCCCGGCGAUCCCUUUUCGCUUUUGGAAACAAUGAACGUGAACUUCUCGCCAAACAGGUUAAACUGAUUUUUAUUCCAUUUAAGUAUGGAUGUUAUGAAGCUCAUAUGGGUCAGAUCCACAGUGUUGAGAAGCUUUGGUAUUAUUACUUUCCGUACGCUUUGGAUGCUAUAAAGUCGUUGGUAUUUUAUAUAUUUUGAACGCUAGAAAG
Long non-coding RNA from Helianthus annuus (common sunflower), 607 nucleotides. RefSeq lists it as uncharacterized. The record is from RefSeq and is a predicted model, not a curated record. The transcript is spliced from 4 exons. NCBI's taxonomy places the organism in Eukaryota, Viridiplantae, Streptophyta, Magnoliopsida, Asterales, Asteraceae.